This is a long non-coding RNA of Leopardus geoffroyi (Geoffroy's cat), 764 nucleotides long. RefSeq lists it as uncharacterized. The record is from RefSeq and is a predicted model, not a curated record. The transcript is spliced from 3 exons. Lineage: Eukaryota; Metazoa; Chordata; Mammalia; Carnivora; Felidae.
CGCGUUUUCGGUUCCGAGACACAGCGUUAAGAGUUGGUGCAGCUGAGGGGCGCCCGGUGGCUCAGUCGGUUAAGCGACCGACUUCAGCUCGGGUCAUGAUCUCGCCAUCUAAUAAGGAAGUUUUCUCUUAUGAUACCUGUGACGUAUAGAAAUAUGAUAAAAUAUUCCUUUGCAAACAAAUUGAAACCUCUAACUUGUCUCCCUACAUGAACCCUCCAGAAUUCAGAAACUCUCAAGAGUGCACGCACAAAUGGGGGAGGAGCAGAGCGAGAAGAAGAGAGAGAAUCCCAAGCAGGCUCCAUGCUGUCAGUGGCAAGUCCAACGGAGGGCUCAGUCCUAUGAACCAUGAGAUCAUGACCUGAGCCAGAAAUCAAGAGUUGGACACCCAACCGACUGAGCCACCCAGGUGCCCCACAAUUUGUUUAAUUUUCCCUUUAUUUCUUUCAUUUGUCUAACUGCACUACUAUGGUUUUCUUUAUGUUAUUCAAUAUAGUAAUGAUAGUGAGCAUAGUUGUCUCAAUCCUGAUUUUAAUGUGAAUUAACCUGACAUUUCACUAUCAGGUGUGAUAAAUUUCUGUAAGCUUAUGGUAGAUUCCUUUUUUCAGGAAAGAAGUUUUCUUCUAUUCCUAAGUUGCUAUGAAUUGUGAUAGUAAACGUUGGAUUUCCCUAAUGCUUUUUUCUCCAUUUAAAGAGAUGAUCAGAUAACUUUUUUCCUUCAAUAUAUUAACAUGCUAAACUCUAUUAGUAAAUUUCCCAAUGCUAAA